UGGGGAAUAUUGCACAAUGGGCGCAAGCCUGAUGCAGCGACGCCGCGUGCGGGAUGGAGGCCUUCGGGUUGUAAACCGCUUUUGUUCAAGGGCAAGGCAGGCUUUCG
This 107-nucleotide ribosomal RNA is filed under the name uncultured bacterium. RNAcentral's name for it is "partial 16S ribosomal RNA". It matches the Rfam family "Bacterial small subunit ribosomal RNA", at positions 355 to 461 of the family's 1533-position model. The record is from RNAcentral.